RNAcentral lists this ribosomal RNA (946 nucleotides) under uncultured bacterium. Its description in RNAcentral is "bacterial SSU rRNA". It matches the Rfam family "Bacterial small subunit ribosomal RNA", at positions 43 to 986 of the family's 1533-position model. The record is from RNAcentral.
CAGGCCUAACACAUGCAAGUCGAACGGUAGCAGGAAGUGCUUGCACUUUGCUGACGAGUGGCGGACGGGUGAGUAAUGCUUGGGAACUUGCCUUAAGGUGGGGGAUAACGGUUGGAAACGACUGCUAAUACCGCAUAAUGUCUACGGACCAAAGGGGGCUUCGGCUCCCGCCUUGAGAGAGGCCCAAGUGAGAUUAGCUAGUUGGUGGGGUAAAGGCCUACCAAGGCAACGAUCUCUAGCUGUUCUGAGAGGAAGAUCAGCCACACUGGGACUGAGACACGGCCCAGACUCCUACGGGAGGCAGCAGUGGGGAAUAUUGCACAAUGGGGGAAACCCUGAUGCAGCCAUGCCGCGUGUGUGAAGAAGGCCUUCGGGUUGUAAAGCACUUUCAGUUGUGAGGAAAGGUUGGUAGUUAAUACCUGCCAGCUGUGACGUUAACAACAGAAGAAGCACCGGCUAACUCCGUGCCAGCAGCCGCGGUAAUACGGAGGGUGCGAGCGUUAAUCGGAAUUACUGGGCGUAAAGCGCACGCAGGCGGCUUGUUAAGCUAGAGGUGAAAGCCCCGCGCUCAACGUGGGAACUGCCUUUAGAACUGGCAGGCUAGAGUCUUGGAGAGGGGAGUGGAAUUCCAGGUGUAGCGGUGAAAUGCGUAGAUAUCUGGAGGAACAUCAGUGGCGAAGGCGGCUCCCUGGCCAAAGACUGACGCUCAUGUGCGAAAGUGUGGGUAGCGAACAGGAUUAGAUACCCUGGUAGUCCACACCGUAAACGCUAUCUACUAGCUGUUUGUGUAUUUAAUACGUGAGUAGCGAAGCUAACGCGCUAAGUAGACCGCCUGGGGAGUACGGCCGCAAGGUUAAAACUCAAAUGAAUUGACGGGGGCCCGCACAAGCGGUGGAGCAUGUGGUUUGAUUCGAUGCAACGCGAAGAACCUUACCUACUCUUGACA